RNAcentral lists this ribosomal RNA (2718 nucleotides) under Salmonella enterica subsp. enterica serovar Enteritidis. Its description in RNAcentral is "partial 23S ribosomal RNA". It matches the Rfam family "Bacterial large subunit ribosomal RNA". Lineage: Bacteria; Pseudomonadati; Pseudomonadota; Gammaproteobacteria; Enterobacterales; Enterobacteriaceae. The record is from RNAcentral.
AAUCUGCGAUAAGCGCCGGUAAGGUGAUAUGAACCGUUAUAACCGGCGAUACCCGAAUGGGGAAACCCAGUGUGAUUCGUCACACUAUCAUUAACUGAAUCCAUAGGUUAAUGAGGCGAACCGGGGGAACUGAAACAUCUAAGUACCCCGAGGAAAAGAAAUCAACCGAGAUUCCCCCAGUAGCGGCGAGCGAACGGGGAGGAGCCCAGAGCCUGAAUCAGCAUGUGUGUUAGUGGAAGCGUCUGGAAAGGCGCGCGAUACAGGGUGACAGCCCCGUACACAAAAGCGCAUGUGCUGUGAGCUCGAUGAGUAGGGCGGGACACGUGGUAUCCUGUCUGAAUAUGGGGGGACCAUCCUCCAAGGCUAAAUACUCCUGACUGACCGAUAGUGAACCAGUACCGUGAGGGAAAGGCGAAAAGAACCCCGGCGAGGGGAGUGAAAAAGAACCUGAAACCGUGUACGUACAAGCAGUGGGAGCACAGGUUUACCUGUGUGACUGCGUACCUUUUGUAUAAUGGGUCAGCGACUUAUAUUCUGUAGCAAGGUUAACCGAAUAGGGGAGCCGGAGGGAAACCGAGUCUUAAUUGGGCGUUAAGUUGCAGGGUAUAGACCCGAAACCCGGUGAUCUAGCCAUGGGCAGGUUGAAGGUUGGGUAACACUAACUGGAGGACCGAACCGACUAAUGUUGAAAAAUUAGCGGAUGACCUGUGGCUGGGGGUGAAAGGCCAAUCAAACCGGGAGAUAGCUGGUUCUCCCCGAAAGCUAUUUAGGUAGCGCCUCGUGAAUUCAUCUCCGGGGGUAGAGCACUGUUUCGGCUAGGGGGCCAUCCCGGCUUACCAACCCGAUGCAAACUGCGAAUACCGGAGAAUGUUAUCACGGGAGACACACGGCGGGUGCUAACGUCCGUCGUGAAGAGGGAAACAACCCAGACCGCCAGCUAAGGUCCCAAAGUCAUGGUUAAGUGGGAAACGAUGUGGGAAGGCCCAGACAGCCAGGAUGUUGGCUUAGAAGCAGCCAUCAUUUAAAGAAAGCGUAAUAGCUCACUGGUCGAGUCGGCCUGCGCGGAAGAUGUAACGGGGCUAAACCAUGCACCGAAGCUGCGGCAGCGACACUGUGUGUUGUUGGGUAGGGGAGCGUUCUGUAAGCCUGUGAAGGUGUGUCGUGAGGCAUGCUGGAGGUAUCAGAAGUGCGAAUGCUGACAUAAGUAACGAUAAAGCGGGUGAAAAGCCCGCUCGCCGGAAGACCAAGGGUUCCUGUCCAACGUUAAUCGGGGCAGGGUGAGUCGACCCCUAAGGCGAGGCCGAAAGGCGUAGUCGAUGGGAAACGGGUUAAUAUUCCCGUACUUGGUGUUACUGCGAAGGGGGGACGGAGAAGGCUAUGUUGGCCGGGCGACGGUUGUCCCGGUUUAAGCGUGUAGGUGUGUGUUCCAGGUAAAUCCGGUUCACUUUAACACUGAGGCGUGACGACGAGGCACUACGGUGCUGAAGCAACAAAUGCCCUGCUUCCAGGAAAAGCCUCUAAGCAUCAGGUAACAUCAAAUCGUACCCCAAACCGACACAGGUGGUCAGGUAGAGAAUACCAAGGCGCUUGAGAGAACUCGGGUGAAGGAACUAGGCAAAAUGGUGCCGUAACUUCGGGAGAAGGCACGCUGACACGUAGGUGAAGUGAUUUACUCAUGGAGCUGAAGUCAGUCGAAGAUACCAGCUGGCUGCAACUGUUUAUUAAAAACACAGCACUGUGCAAACACGAAAGUGGACGUAUACGGUGUGACGCCUGCCCGGUGCCGGAAGGUUAAUUGAUGGGGUCAGCGCAAGCGAAGCUCCUGAUCGAAGCCCCGGUAAACGGCGGCCGUAACUAUAACGGUCCUAAGGUAGCGAAAUUCCUUGUCGGGUAAGUUCCGACCUGCACGAAUGGCGUAAUGAUGGCCAGGCUGUCUCCACCCGAGACUCAGUGAAAUUGAACUCGCUGUGAAGAUGCAGUGUACCCGCGGCAAGACGGAAAGACCCCGUGAACCUUUACUAUAGCUUGACACUGAACAUUGAGCCUUGAUGUGUAGGAUAGGUGGGAGGCUUUGAAGUGUGGACGCCAGUCUGCAUGGAGCCGACCUUGAAAUACCACCCUUUAAUGUUUGAUGUUCUAACGUGGACCCGUUACCCGGGUUGCGGACAGUGUCUGGUGGGUAGUUUGACUGGGGCGGUCUCCUCCUAAAGAGUAACGGAGGAGCACGAAGGUUGGCUAAUCCUGGUCGGACAUCAGGAGGUUAGUGCAAUGGCAUAAGCCAGCUUGACUGCGAGCGUGACGGCGCGAGCAGGUGCGAAAGCAGGUCAUAGUGAUCCGGUGGUUCUGAAUGGAAGGGCCAUCGCUCAACGGAUAAAAGGUACUCCGGGGAUAACAGGCUGAUACCGCCCAAGAGUUCAUAUCGACGGCGGUGUUUGGCACCUCGAUGUCGGCUCAUCACAUCCUGGGGCUGAAGUAGGUCCCAAGGGUAUGGCUGUUCGCCAUUUAAAGUGGUACGCGAGCUGGGUUUAGAACGUCGUGAGACAGUUCGGUCCCUAUCUGCCGUGGGCGCUGGAGAACUGAGGGGGGCUGCUCCUAGUACGAGAGGACCGGAGUGGACGCAUCACUGGUGUUCGGGUUGUCAUGCCAAUGGCACUGCCCGGUAGCUAAAUGCGGAAGAGAUAAGUGCUGAAAGCAUCUAAGCACGAAACUUGCCCCGAG